GNAUAGGCUUNAACACAUGCAAGUCGAGGGUNGUAACAGGCCCGUAGCAAUACUGUGCAGACGACCGGCGGAUGGGUGAGUAACGCGUAUGCANNUCUACCUUUUACCCGGGGAUAGCCCAUGGAAACGUGGAUUAAUACCUGAUGCAUUUCUUUUGUGGCCCUCAUGAANGGAAUAAAGAUUUAUCGGUAAGAGAUGAGCCAUGCGUUCCAUUAGGAAGUUGGUAAAGGUAACGGCUUACCAAUCCGAUGAUGGAUAGGGGUUCCUGAGAGGAAGGUCNCCCCACACCUGGAAUUGAGAANACCGGGUCCAGACUCCUACNGGGAGGCAGCCAGUGAAGGAAUAUUGGUCAAUGGUCCGUAAGACUGAACCCNNCCAGGUCGCGUGAAGGUAAC
RNAcentral lists this ribosomal RNA (395 nucleotides) under Odoribacter denticanis. RNAcentral's name for it is "partial 16S ribosomal RNA". It matches the Rfam family "Bacterial small subunit ribosomal RNA", at positions 47 to 390 of the family's 1533-position model. The record is from RNAcentral. Lineage: Bacteria; Pseudomonadati; Bacteroidota; Bacteroidia; Bacteroidales; Odoribacteraceae.